CAUUGCUCUCUCUCUCCUUUCUUCCCCCUCAUCCUGUUACAGAAGACACUGAAGGAAUGAUGGACAAGCUGGUGCAGGAUGGCAGCAGCAGGGUGGAAGCACAGGUUCCGGACACGGCUUGCUCUUCUAAGCAGUGUGAGGACUGUGAGAAAGACUUUGUUGGAUGCAGCAGGAAAGCACAGCCGCUGGUGGAUGCCAGUGUCCGCUCCUGAGGCUCUGCGCCAAGCUCUGCCCAGUGCUGAUGGGAUGCCAGUGCCACCUGCUGCUCUUAAUAAAAGGUAGGUUUGAUUUCUUUUGGCUUCCAUAGCAUUUGCUACACUUUCAUUCUGUCUCUCUUCU
This is a long non-coding RNA of Tympanuchus pallidicinctus (lesser prairie-chicken), 339 nucleotides long. RefSeq lists it as uncharacterized. The record is from RefSeq and is a predicted model, not a curated record. The transcript has 3 exons. Lineage: Eukaryota; Metazoa; Chordata; Aves; Galliformes; Phasianidae.